UGGGGGAUAUUGCACAAUGGGCGCAAGCCUGAUGCAGCCAUGCCGCGUGUAUGAAGAAGGCCUUCGGGUUGUAAAGUACUUUCAGCGGGGAGGAAGGGAGUAAAGUUAAUACCUUUACUCAUUGACGUUACCCGCAGAAGAAGCACCGGCUAACUCCGUGCCAGCAGCCGCGGUAAUACGGAGGGUGCAAGCGUUAAUCGGAAUUACUGGGCGUAAAGCGCACGCAGGCGGUUUGUUAAGUCAGAUGUGAAAUCCCCGGGCUCAACCUGGGAACUGCAUCUGAUACUGGCAAGCUUGAGUCUCGUAGAGGGGGGUAGAAUUCCAGGUGUAGCGGUGAAAUGCGUAGAGAUCUGGAGGAAUACCGGUGGCGAAGGCGGCCCCCUGGACGAAGACUGACGCUCAGGUGCGAAAGCGUGGGGAGCAAACAGG
RNAcentral lists this ribosomal RNA (429 nucleotides) under Chloroflexota bacterium. Its description in RNAcentral is "Chloroflexi bacterium partial 16S ribosomal RNA". It matches the Rfam family "Bacterial small subunit ribosomal RNA", at positions 355 to 776 of the family's 1533-position model. The record is from RNAcentral. Lineage: Bacteria; Bacillati; Chloroflexota.